RNAcentral lists this ribosomal RNA (993 nucleotides) under Leuconostoc mesenteroides. RNAcentral's name for it is "bacterial SSU rRNA". The stretch from base 1 to 704 matches the Rfam family "Bacterial small subunit ribosomal RNA", at positions 826 to 1533 of the family's 1533-position model. Lineage: Bacteria; Bacillati; Bacillota; Bacilli; Lactobacillales; Lactobacillaceae. The record is from RNAcentral.
GGAGGUUCCGCCUCUUAGUGCCGAAGCUAACGCAUUAAGUGUUCCGCCUGGGGAGUACGACCGCAAGUUGAAACUCAAAGGAAUUGACGGGGACCCGCACAAGCGUGGAGCAUGUGGUUUAAUUCGAAGCAACGCRGAGAACCUUACCAGGUCUUGACAUCCUUUGAAGCUUUUAGAGAUAGAAGUGUUCUCUUCGGAGACAAAGUGACAGGUGGUGCAUGGUCGUCGUCAGCUCGUGUCGUGAGAUGUUGGGUUAAGUCCCGCAACGAGCGCAACCCUUAUUGUUAGUUGCCAGCAUUCAGAUGGGCACUCUAGCGAGACUGCCGGUGACAAACCGGAGGAAGGCGGGGACGACGUCAGAUCAUCAUGCCCCUUAUGACCUGGGCUACACACGUGCUACAAUGGCGUAUACAACGAGUUGCCAACCCGCGAGUGGAGCUAAUCUCUUAAAGUACGUCUCAGUUCGGAUUGUAGUCUGCAACUCGACUACAUGAAGUCGGAAUCGCUAGUAAUCGCGGAUCAGCACGCCGCGGUGAAUACGUUCCCGGGUCUUGUACACACCGCCCGUCACACCAUGGGAGUUUGUAAUGCCCAAAGCCGGUGGCCUAACCUUUUAGGAAGGAGCCGUCUAAGGCAGGACAGAUGACUGGGGUGAAGUCGUAACAAGGUAGCCGUAGAGAACCUGCGGCUGGAUCACCUCCUUUCUAAGGAUAAUCGGAAAGCGACAGGGACUUAAGUGUCAAUUUGUUUGUUUCAAAGUUUUGUUUAGUUUUGAGUGUGAUACUUUAAUAGGUAUCAUGGUCUCAAACUGAUCCUAUGGGGAAUUAGCUCAGCUGGGAGAGCACCUGCUUUGCAAGCACGGGGGUCAGCGGUUCGAUCCCGCUAUUCUCCAUAGCUAGUCGAAAGGCUAGCAUGUUGUACACUUGAAAACUGAAUAGUAACAAAUUCUUUUAAAAGCAAUCGUAAGAUUCCCCUAAAAUGAACCGGGRAACA